RNAcentral lists this transfer RNA (69 nucleotides) under Ephemera serica. Its description in RNAcentral is "tRNA-Gln". The record is from RNAcentral. Lineage: Eukaryota; Metazoa; Arthropoda; Insecta; Ephemeroptera; Ephemeridae.
UAUUUAUAAGUGUAAGAUGCACGAAAGUUUUUGAUACUUUAAGGGAUAGUUUAAUUCUGUUAUAAAUAA